Molecule: ribosomal RNA, 555 nt
Filed under: Escherichia coli
Lineage: Bacteria; Pseudomonadati; Pseudomonadota; Gammaproteobacteria; Enterobacterales; Enterobacteriaceae
Description: partial 23S ribosomal RNA
Rfam family: Bacterial large subunit ribosomal RNA
Source: RNAcentral
CGAGCGUGACGGCGCGAGCAGGUGCGAAAGCAGGUCAUAGUGAUCCGGUGGUUCUGAAUGGAAGGGCCAUCGCUCAACGGAUAAAAGGUACUCCGGGGAUAACAGGCUGAUACCGCCCAAGAGUUCAUAUCGACGGCGGUGUUUGGCACCUCGAUGUCGGCUCAUCACAUCCUGGGGCUGAAGUAGGUCCCAAGGGUAUGGCUGUUCGCCAUUUAAAGUGGUACGCGAGCUGGGUUUAGAACGUCGUGAGACAGUUCGGUCCCUAUCUGCCGUGGGCGCUGGAGAACUGAGGGGGGCUGCUCCUAGUACGAGAGGACCGGAGUGGACGCAUCACUGGUGUUCGGGUUGUCAUGCCAAUGGCACUGCCCGGUAGCUAAAUGCGGAAGAGAUAAGUGCUGAAAGCAUCUAAGCACGAAACUUGCCCCGAGAUGAGUUCUCCCUGACUCCUUGAGAGUCCUGAAGGAACGUUGAAGACGACGACGUUGAUAGGCCGGGUGUGUAAGCGCAGCGAUGCGUUGAGCUAACCGGUACUAAUGAACCGUGAGGCUUAACCUU